This 67-nucleotide transfer RNA is filed under the name Chalinolobus tuberculatus (New Zealand long-tailed bat). RNAcentral describes it as "tRNA-Pro". It matches the Rfam family "tRNA". Rfam says of the family: Transfer RNA (tRNA) molecules are approximately 80 nucleotides in length. Their secondary structure includes four short double-helical elements and three loops (D, anti-codon, and T loops). The record is from RNAcentral. Lineage: Eukaryota; Metazoa; Chordata; Mammalia; Chiroptera; Vespertilionidae.
CAGGAGAUAGUUUAUAUAGAAUAUCAGCUUUGGGUGUUGAUGGUGGAGUUAAAAACUUCUCUCUUGA